CAUACAUACAUUGGCAGAAAUAUAGUCAUUUUUGGCUGUGUCUCUAUGGGCAGAUCUGAAGGCAUGUAGUAAGGCUGUCAAGAAAAGGCAUUGGUUAAAAGUGCUUAUAUUCUAAAUUUACUUUUCAAAUUUCAAAAUUA
Long non-coding RNA from Octopus sinensis (East Asian common octopus), 140 nucleotides. RefSeq lists it as uncharacterized. The record is from RefSeq and is a predicted model, not a curated record. The transcript is spliced from 3 exons. Lineage: Eukaryota; Metazoa; Mollusca; Cephalopoda; Octopoda; Octopodidae.